GCUAAGGUGGUCACUGUGUUCUGUCCGCUGUCGGUCCUACUCUGCGAGACGUCGCUCCAGGACCGUACUUCAGCCAGUUUUCCUCCAACACCGAUAACUAGGAAAAUACGAAGGAAGCCUAGUGCCAAGGAUCAUGAUCUGGGCCCAGGGCAUGCAGCAUUCACUCUGGCUUUGAGAAUAUUAGAAUCACUGAAUCUGAAGCUGUUUGCUCUGGACACACAGAACAUGAAGGAUUUAUUUACCAGACGUAUUUUUAAUUCAAAUGAGUAUGACUAUUACUAAAGCUGAAGAGAAAUAGCUCUAGUCUAUGCUUCUCUCCACCCACUUCCCAUGUAUGUAGGCCCUUCAGAUGUUUAAAAAUAUAAUUGAUACAGGAAAGGAAAAUAAAUCAUAAAGGUAGAGUUUGAUGAAUU
Molecule: long non-coding RNA, 413 nt
Filed under: Capra hircus (goat)
Lineage: Eukaryota; Metazoa; Chordata; Mammalia; Artiodactyla; Bovidae
Description: lncRNA (ENSCHIG00000002227.1)
Source: RNAcentral